CAAAUUAGAGCUUGUUAAAGUAUUUCAUUUACAUUGAAAAGAUAUUAUUAAUUUAAUUAAUUUGA
RNAcentral lists this transfer RNA (65 nucleotides) under Andraca melli. RNAcentral describes it as "tRNA-Val". Lineage: Eukaryota; Metazoa; Arthropoda; Insecta; Lepidoptera; Endromidae. The record is from RNAcentral.